Molecule: ribosomal RNA, 216 nt
Filed under: Glomeromycotina sp.
Lineage: Eukaryota; Fungi; Glomeromycota
Description: partial small subunit ribosomal RNA
Rfam family: Eukaryotic small subunit ribosomal RNA (bases 40-216)
Source: RNAcentral
GGGUCAGUAGGUUGGUCGUGCCACCGGUACGUACUGGUCUCACUGAUUCCUCCUUCCUGAAGAACCGUAAUGCCAUUAAUUUGGUGUUGCGGGGAAGCAGGACUGUUACUUUGAAAAAAUUAGAGUGUUUAAAGCAAGCUAACGCUUGAAUACAUUAGCAUGGAAUAACGAAAUAGGACGAUCGAUCCUAUUUUGUUGGUUUCUAGGAUUGACGUA